UACGUAGGGGGCAAGCGUUGUCCGGAAUUAUUGGGCGUAAAGAGCGUGUAGGCGGUCCGGUAAGUCCGUUGUGAAAGUCAAGGGCUCAACCCUUGAAUGCCGGCGGAUACUGUCGGGCUAGAGUCCGGAAGAGGCGAGUGGAAUUCCCGGUGUAGCGGUGAAAUGCGCAGAUAUCGGGAGGAACACCAAUGGCGAAGGCAGCUCGCUGGGACGGUACUGACGCUGAGACGCGAAAGCUAGGGGAGCAAACGGG
This 253-nucleotide ribosomal RNA is filed under the name uncultured bacterium. Its description in RNAcentral is "partial 16S ribosomal RNA". It matches the Rfam family "Bacterial small subunit ribosomal RNA", at positions 524 to 776 of the family's 1533-position model. The record is from RNAcentral.